This 465-nucleotide ribosomal RNA is filed under the name Vreelandella stevensii. RNAcentral describes it as "partial 16S ribosomal RNA". It matches the Rfam family "Bacterial small subunit ribosomal RNA", at positions 338 to 795 of the family's 1533-position model. Lineage: Bacteria; Pseudomonadati; Pseudomonadota; Gammaproteobacteria; Oceanospirillales; Halomonadaceae. The record is from RNAcentral.
CCUACGGGAGGCUGCAGUGGGGAAUAUUGGACAAUGGGGGGAACCCUGAUCCAGCCAUGCCGCGUGUGUGAAGAAGGCCCUCGGGUUGUAAAGCACUUUCAGUGAGGAAGAACGCCUGGUGGUUAAUACCCAUCAGGAAAGACAUCACUCACAGAAGAAGCACCGGCUAACUCCGUGCCAGCAGCCGCGGUAAUACGGAGGGUGCGAGCGUUAAUCGGAAUUACUGGGCGUAAAGCGCGCGUAGGUGGCUUGAUAAGCCGGUUGUGAAAGCCCCGGGCUCAACCUAGGAACGGCAUCCGGAACUGUCCAGCUAGAGUGCAGGAGAGGAAGGUAGAAUUCCCGGUGUAGCGGUGAAAUGCGUAGAGAUCGGGAGGAAUACCAGUGGCGAAGGCGGCCUUCUGGACUGACACUGACACUGAGGUGCGAAAGCGUGGGUAGCAAACAGGAUUAGAUACCCCUGUAGUC